CUUUGUAAUUUGGAGCAUAUAAAUACGUAAGGAAUACCUCUCUUCCAUGGGAUCUAUCACAAUAGAAAGCAAAGCUAUAUAGGAUUAUUUCCCAUAUCAAGAAAAUGAAAAUCCCUUUUUAUUUUCCCAUCCUCGUGCUUGUUGUCUUCAUUGCUUCUGGAAAACAAGUGCAAAUGACAGUGGUACCAAAUUGUGUGGUAGAAAGCUUGUCAGUUCAUUGUGAAAUAUUCAAGAAUCCUUGCGAACUUCUUUGCCAACAACAUUUUGGAUCACCCGCAGCACAUGGAGCUUGUGGCAUUAAGUUCCAUGUAUGUGUUUGUUAUUUAUGUUAAAUAUAAAGUUUAACUAUAACAAUCACAGCUUUCAUACCUAUUUAAUAGUAUGUAAGCCGAUGAAAAAAUAAAUAUAUAAAUAAAAUGACUUCAUUAUUAGACCCAA
Long non-coding RNA from Glycine soja, 438 nucleotides. RefSeq lists it as uncharacterized. NCBI's taxonomy places the organism in Eukaryota, Viridiplantae, Streptophyta, Magnoliopsida, Fabales, Fabaceae. The record is from RefSeq and is a predicted model, not a curated record. The transcript has 2 exons.